RNAcentral lists this ribosomal RNA (384 nucleotides) under uncultured bacterium. Its description in RNAcentral is "bacterial SSU rRNA". It matches the Rfam family "Bacterial small subunit ribosomal RNA", at positions 355 to 756 of the family's 1533-position model. The record is from RNAcentral.
UAGGGAAUAUUAGAAAUGGACGAAAGUCUGAUCUAGCAACACCGCGUGUGUGAAGAAGGCCUUCGGGUUGUAAAGCACUUUUUGGAAGGAUUAGGAAGGAAUGUACUUCCAGAAUAAGUCUCGGCUAACUACGUGCCAGCAGCCGCGGUAACACGUAGGAGGCAGACGUUAUCCGGAUUUACUGGGCGUAAAGCGCGUGUGGGUGGUUCUGUAAGUAGGGCGUGAAAGCUCCUGGCUCAACUGGGAGAGGCCGUUCUAAACUGCAGGGCUAGAGGAUGGUAGAGGGAGGUGGAAUUCCGGGUGUAGCGGUGGAAUGAGCAGAUAUUCGGAGGAACACCAGUGGCGAACGAGGCCUCCUGGACCAUUCCUGACACUCAGACGCGA